Molecule: long non-coding RNA, 289 nt
Organism: Bubalus bubalis (water buffalo)
Lineage: Eukaryota; Metazoa; Chordata; Mammalia; Artiodactyla; Bovidae
Exons: 2
Source: RefSeq, a predicted model, not a curated record
CAGGUGUUUAUCCAGCACUCACUCUGCACCAGGCACCUUCCAGGUGCUUGGGAUAAGAUGGACAACAGGGCAGGCACAGCUCCUGUCUUCAAGGAGCUCAUGGUACAAGUGAUAUCACACCCAGUUUACAGAACCCAGACUUGUUCCUCUGGGCCUGAUGUCUGUUCCUAGACCUCGAAAUCUUCCAGAGACAAUGCCCAGGUCAAGGAAUGAGUGGGAAUUCCUGACACCAUGGCUGGACAGAAGAGGAGAGUCCUGAGUGGGGGCAGGAAGGAGAGUUCUUGGCUGC